Molecule: ribosomal RNA, 270 nt
Filed under: uncultured archaeon
Lineage: Archaea
Description: partial 16S ribosomal RNA
Rfam family: Archaeal small subunit ribosomal RNA
Source: RNAcentral
CAGCACCUCAAGUGGUCAGGAUGAUUAUUGGGCCUAAAGCAUCCGUAGCCGGCUCUGUAAGUUUUCGGUUAAAUCUGUACGCUCAACGUACAGGCUGCCGGGAAUACUGCAGCGCUAGGGAGUGGGAGAGGUAGACGGUACUCGGUAGGAAGGGGUAAAAUCCUUUGAUCUAUUGAUGACCACCUGUGGCGAAGGCGGUCUACCAGAACACGUCCGACGGUGAGGGAUGAAAGCUGGGGGAGUAAACCGGAUUAGAUACCCGAGUAGUCC